Molecule: ribosomal RNA, 481 nt
Filed under: uncultured bacterium
Lineage: Bacteria
Description: partial 16S ribosomal RNA
Rfam family: Bacterial small subunit ribosomal RNA
Source: RNAcentral
AUUGAACGCUGGCGGCAUGCCUUACACAUGCAAGUCGAACGGUAACAGGUCUUCGGAUGCUGACGAGUGGCGAACGGGUGAGUAUACAUCGGAACGUGCCCAGACGUGGGGGAUAACGAGGCGAAAGCUUUGCUAAUACCGCAUACGAACUAAGGAUGAAAGCAGGGGACCGCAAGGCCUUGUGCGUUUGGAGCGGCCGAUGGCAGAUCAGGUAGUUGGUGGGAUAAAAGCUUACCAAGCCGACGAUCUGUAGCUGGUCUGAGAGGACGACCAGCCACACUGGGACUGAGACACGGCCCAGACUCCUACGGGAGGCAGCAGUGGGGAAUUUUGGACAAUGGGCGAAAGCCUGAUCCAGCAAUGCCGCGUGCAGGAUGAAGGCCUUCGGGUUGUAAACUGCUUUUGUACGGAACGAAAAGGCUCUGGCUAAUACCUGGGGCGCAUGACGGUACCGUAAGAAUAAGCACCGGCUAACUACGUG